This 484-nucleotide ribosomal RNA is filed under the name uncultured bacterium. RNAcentral describes it as "partial 16S ribosomal RNA". It matches the Rfam family "Bacterial small subunit ribosomal RNA", at positions 30 to 507 of the family's 1533-position model. The record is from RNAcentral.
AUUGAACGCUGGCGGCAUGCUUUACACAUGCAAGUCGAACGGAAGCGCGGGCUUCUGCCUGGCGGCGAGUUGCGAACGGGUGAGUAAUACAUAGGAACGUGACCAGUAGUGGGGGAUAGCACGGCGAAGGGCGGAUUAAUACCGCAUACGACCAUAGGGUGAAAGCGAGGGAUCUUCGGAGCACGCGCGAUUGGAGGUGCCGAUGGCAUAUUAGCUAGUUGGUAGGGUAAAGGCCUACCAAGGCGACGAUCCGUAGCAGGUCUGAGAGGCCGACCAGCCACACUGGAACUGAGACACGGUCCAGACUCCUACGGGAGGCAGCAGUAGGGAAUCUUCGACAAUGGGCGAAAGCCUGACGCAGCAAUGCCGCGUGUGUGAUGAAGGCCUUCGGGUCGUAAAGCACUUUUAGUGGGAACGAAAAAGAGUGUAACAAUACAUCCACUCCUUGACGGUACCCGAACAAAAAGCCACGGCUAACUACGUG